Molecule: transfer RNA, 67 nt
Filed under: Camelus bactrianus (Bactrian camel)
Lineage: Eukaryota; Metazoa; Chordata; Mammalia; Artiodactyla; Camelidae
Also listed under: 3 other names
Rfam family: tRNA
About the family: Transfer RNA (tRNA) molecules are approximately 80 nucleotides in length. Their secondary structure includes four short double-helical elements and three loops (D, anti-codon, and T loops).
Source: Rfam by way of RNAcentral
GGUAAUAGCUCAGUGGUAGAGUGUAUGCUUAGCAUGCACGUGGUCCUGGGUUUGAUCCCCAGUACCG